This 511-nucleotide ribosomal RNA is filed under the name uncultured bacterium. RNAcentral describes it as "bacterial SSU rRNA". It matches the Rfam family "Bacterial small subunit ribosomal RNA", at positions 29 to 527 of the family's 1533-position model. The record is from RNAcentral.
AACAAACGCUGGCGGCGUGUCUUAAGCAUGCAAGUUGAGCGGCAAGGAGGAGAGAUCCUCCCUAGAGCGGCGGACUGGUGAGUAACGCGUGGGUAAUCUAUCUUAGGCAUGGGGAUAGUCACUAGAAAUAGUGGGUAAUACCGAAUAAGUUCCAUAAGGGGAGGACUUAUGGAAGAAAGGUGCUACGGCACUGGCCUUAGGUGAGCUCGCGUCCCAUUAGCUAGUUGGUGAGGUAAAGGCCCACCAAGGCGAUGAUGGGUAGCCGGCCUGAGAGGGUGUACGGCCACACUGGGACUGAGAUACGGCCCAGACUCCUACGGGAGGCAGCAGCUAAGAAUAUUCCGCAAUGGACGGAAGUCUGACGGAGCGACGCCGCGUGGAUGAAGAAGGCCGAAAGGUUGUAAAGUUCUUUUGCUAGGGGAGAAUAAGUGUGGGAGGGAAUGCCUGCACGAUGACAAGGACUAGCGAAUAAGUCCCGGCCAACUACGUGCCAGGAGCCGCGGUAAACACG